UAGCAACACGGCAGAUGAAUGAUUUG
RNAcentral lists this non-coding RNA (26 nucleotides) under Mus musculus (house mouse). Lineage: Eukaryota; Metazoa; Chordata; Mammalia; Rodentia; Muridae. The record is from RNAcentral.